This 481-nucleotide ribosomal RNA is filed under the name uncultured bacterium. RNAcentral's name for it is "partial 16S ribosomal RNA". It matches the Rfam family "Bacterial small subunit ribosomal RNA", at positions 28 to 507 of the family's 1533-position model. The record is from RNAcentral.
GAUGAACGCUGGCGGCGUGCUUAACACAUGCAAGUCGAACGAAACACCUUAUUUGAUUUUCUUCGGAACUGAAGAUUUGGUGAUUGAGUGGCGGACGGGUGAGUAACGCGUGGGUAACCUGCCCUGUACAGGGGGAUAACAGUCAGAAAUGACUGCUAAUACCGCAUAAGACCACAGCACCGCAUGGUGCAGGGGUAAAAACUCCGGUGGUACAGGAUGGACCCGCGUCUGAUUAGCUGGUUGGUGAGGUAACGGCUCACCAAGGCGACGAUCAGUAGCCGGCUUGAGAGAGUGAACGGCCACUUUGGGGCUGAGACACGGCCCAAACUCCUACGGGAGGCAGCAGUGGGGAAUAUUGCACAAUGGGGGAAACCCUGAUGCAGCGACGCCGCGUGAGUGAAGAAGUAUUUCGGUAUGUAAAGCUCUAUCAGCAGGGAAGAAAAUGACGGUACCUGACUAAGAAGCCCCGGCUAACUACGUG